AGUGAACGCUGGCGGUAGGCCUAACACAUGCAAGUCGAACGGCAGCACAGUAAGAGCUUGCUCUUACGGGUGGCGAGUGGCGGACGGGUGAGGAAUACAUCGGAAUCUACUUUUUCGUGGGGGAUAACGUAGGGAAACUUACGCUAAUACCGCAUACGACCUACGGGUGAAAGCAGGGGAUCUUCGGACCUUGCGCGAUUGAAUGAGCCGAUGUCGGAUUAGCUAGUUGGCGGGGUAAAGGCCCACCAAGGCGACGAUCCGUAGCUGGUCUGAGAGGAUGAUCAGCCACACUGGAACUGAGACACGGUCCAGACUCCUACGGGAGGCAGCAGUGGGGAAUAUUGGACAAUGGGCGCAAGCCUGAUCCAGCCAUACCGCGUGGGUGAAGAAGGCCUUCGGGUUGUAAAGACCUUUUGUUGGGAAAGAAAAGCAGCAGGUUAAUACCCCGCUGUUCUGACGGUACCCAAAGAAUAAGCACCGGCUAACUUCGUGC
Molecule: ribosomal RNA, 493 nt
Filed under: uncultured bacterium
Lineage: Bacteria
Description: partial 16S ribosomal RNA
Rfam family: Bacterial small subunit ribosomal RNA
Source: RNAcentral